UAAGGACUUCCCUUUUAAUUUUAAGGGCCGAGCGGGGAGAUUUUAAGCUUGUUCUGAUGAAAAUAGCGGCGGGCGUUCAAUUAAACGUGGGCACCUGCCCAUAAGACUGGGAAACUUCUUUAAACCGGGGCUAAUACCGGAAAAUUUUGAACCGCAUGGUACGAAAUUGAAAGGCGGCUUCGGCUGUCACUUAUGGAUGGACCCGCGUCGCAUUAGCUAGUUGGUGAGGUAACGGCUCACCAAGGCAACGAUGCGUAGCCGACCUGAGAGGGUGAUCGGCCACACUGGGACUGAAACACGGCCCAGACUCCUACGGGAGGCUGCAGUAGGGAAUCUUCCGCAAUGGACGAAAUUGGGACGGAGCAACGCCGCGUGAGUGUUGAAGGCUUUCGGGUCGUAAAAUUCUGUUGUUAGGGAAGAACAAGUGCUAGUUGAAUAACUUGGCACCUUGACGGUACCUAACCAGAAAGCCACGGUUAACUACGUGCCAGCAGCCGCGGGUAAUACGUAGGGGGGCAAGCGUUAUCCGGAAUUUAUUGGGCGUAAAGGCGCGCGCAGGGUGGUUUCUUUAAUUCUGAUGUGAAAAGCCCCACGGCUCAACCGUGGAGGGGUCAUUGGAAAACUGGGAAGACUUUGAGUGCAGAAGAAGGAAAAGUGGAAAUUCCAUGGUGUAGCGGGUGAAAUGCGUAGAGAUAUGGAGGAACACCAGUGGCGAAGGCGACUUUCUGGUCUGUAACUGACACUGAGGCGCGAAAGCGUGGGGAGCAAACAGGAUUAGAUACCCUGGUAGUCCACGCCGUAAACGAUGAGUGCUAAGUGUUAGAGGGUUUCCGCCCUUUAGUGCUGAAGUUAACGCAUUAAGCACUCCGCCUGGGGAGUACGGGGGUAAGGGCUGAAACUCAAAGGAAUUGACGGGGGCCCGCACAAGCGGUGGAGCAUGUGGUUUCGAAGCAACGCGAAGAACCUUACCAGGUCUUGACAUCCUCUGACAACCCUAGAGAUAGGGCUUCUCCUUCGGGAGCAGAGUGACAGGUGGUGCAUGGUUGUCGUCAGCUCGUGUCGUGAGAUGUUGGGUUAAGUCCCGCAACGAGCGCAACCCUUGAUCUUAGUUGCCAUCAUUAAGUUGGGCACUCUAAGGUGACUGCCGGGUGACAAACCGGAGGAGGUGGGGAUGACGUCAAAUUCAUCAUGCCCCUUAUGACCUGGGGCUUAACACACGUGCUAACAAU
This 1229-nucleotide ribosomal RNA is filed under the name Bacillus anthracis (anthrax bacterium). RNAcentral's name for it is "bacterial SSU rRNA". It matches the Rfam family "Bacterial small subunit ribosomal RNA", at positions 72 to 1231 of the family's 1533-position model. The record is from RNAcentral. Lineage: Bacteria; Bacillati; Bacillota; Bacilli; Caryophanales; Bacillaceae.